GUCUCUCCCCAAGGGUGUUUGACAGACUGUGCCUGGAACCAGAGGGAAAAGAAUGAACGUGGAUGCUGUUUGUCACUGGCUACCAUCAGUGGGGGCUUCCAGUGAGUUACAAAUAAGGCUCAAAAGCCACUCGGCAGAAGUCCCUAGUGUCCUCCCUUCAGGGCCAGGGGCUUUAUUCAAAAAGGGAGCCAUCUUGUGCGCAGUUCUCAUCUGCAGGUUUUUCAAGGAAUCUCCAUGCUGUUUUCCAUAGUGGCUGUACCAACGUAAUUCCCGUCAACAGUGUAGGAGGGGUCAUUCAUUCUUGAUUUUGUAAUUUUCACACUUGGGAUUCCCAUCUGUCUACAAUCCCAUUUUUACAAAUGAAGACACCAGCUUGAGAGAUAUAGACAUGCACAUGUCUGAGCAUAAAAUAUAAGUGGCCAAAAAGCAUAUGAAAAGUCUUUUCCAAAGAGUCAACUCUUCGCAUGAGGUGGCCAAAGUACUGGAGUUUCAGCUUUAGCAUCAUUCCUUCCAAAGAAAUCCCAGGGCUGAUCUCCUUCAGAAUGGACUGGUUGGAUCUCCUUGAAGUCCAAGGGACUCUCAAGAGUCUUCUCCAAGCAUCACUGACUCGAUGGACAUGAGUCUGAGUGAAAUCCAGGAGUUGGUGAUGGACAGGGAGACCUGGCGUGCUGUGAUUCAUGGGGUCACAAAGAGUUGGACACAACUGAGCGACUGAACUGAACUGACUGACUGAACUGAAGCACUUAAUAAACAUGAGCUGAGGGAUUUCCCUGGUGGCUCAGUGGUAAAGAAUCUGCCUGUCAAUGCAGGAGACAUGGGUUCCAUCUCCGGUCUGAGAGGAUCCCACAUGCCACAGAGCAACUAAUCCUGUGUACCUGCACCACAACUAAGGAGCCUGUGCUCUAGAGCCUGGGAACCACAACUACUGACCCCAUGUGCCUCAGUUACUGAAAUGUGUGCCCUAGAGCCCAUGCUCUGCAACAAGAGAAGCCCCUGAAAUGAGAUGCCUGCUUACCUCAACUAGAGAGUAGCCUGCACAGCAACAAAGACACAAUACAGCCAAAAA
Long non-coding RNA from Bos taurus (domestic cattle), 1066 nucleotides. Lineage: Eukaryota; Metazoa; Chordata; Mammalia; Artiodactyla; Bovidae. The record is from Ensembl.